ACAGUGGUGAUUCAAUGGUAAAAUUCUUGCCUGCCAUACUAAAGAUCCAGGUUCAGAUCCUGGCCAAUGUU
RNAcentral lists this transfer RNA (71 nucleotides) under Loxodonta africana (African savanna elephant). It matches the Rfam family "tRNA". From Rfam's summary of the family: Transfer RNA (tRNA) molecules are approximately 80 nucleotides in length. Their secondary structure includes four short double-helical elements and three loops (D, anti-codon, and T loops). Further hydrogen bonds mediate the characteristic L-shaped molecular structure. tRNAs have two regions of fundamental functional importance: the anti-codon, which is responsible for specific mRNA codon recognition, and the 3' end, to which the tRNAs corresponding amino acid is attached (by aminoacyl-tRNA synthetases). tRNAs cope with the degeneracy of the genetic code in two manners: having more than one tRNA (with a specific anti-codon) for a particular amino acid; and 'wobble' base-pairing, i.e. permitting non-standard base-pairing at the 3rd anti-codon position. The record is from Rfam by way of RNAcentral. Lineage: Eukaryota; Metazoa; Chordata; Mammalia; Proboscidea; Elephantidae.